This 4706-nucleotide unclassified non-coding RNA is filed under the name Leishmania donovani. RNAcentral describes it as "gene:LdHU3.23.1160(CDS-product:3-ketoacyl-CoA_thi olase_putative)". The record is from RNAcentral. Lineage: Eukaryota; Euglenozoa; Kinetoplastea; Trypanosomatida; Trypanosomatidae.
UUGUCGCCUAUCCGUACGAUCAUUUAGCUCUCCCUCUUUGCCCAGCGUUUUCUCUCUUUUUCUUUUAUGUGCUACAGUCCACCAUUUUUUUUUGGGUUCGCCUCUCUACUCGACUUUCUCAGUGGCCACUCCGCGGCUUCACGCUUGACAACUGUCCAUCGCCCCGCCCUCCUCCCCUCUUCCCCAUCUUUCCUAAAAACGUUUUUUUUUCCACACGCAAGAACAGCGAAGCCUUCACACAACCACACAUAAAAGGGAGAAACAAUAUGUUCCGCUCUAGCUUGACGCACCGGCAGGCGGCGCCCCGCGUGUUCAUCGUGGGAGGCCACAUCACCCCGUUCGUGGGCAAGGGCAGCAAGCUCUUCAUUGACAAGAAGCAUCCAGACUUUGGCAAGAAGCAAAACAUGACGCUCGAGGAGAUCCUCGCCACGACAGUGCAGCACACGAUAGGGAACACCGGCCUCAACGGCAAGGAGGACAUUGUAGACCAAGUGGUUGUCGGCAACUUUCUCGGCGAGCUCUUCUCGAGCCAGGGUCACCUCGGCCCGGCGGCGAUCGGUAGCCUCACUUACGGUCAAGCCGGUGCGAAAAACCCGCUAAUGUACAAGCCCGCCAUGCGUGUCGAGGGCGCGUGCGCGUCUGGCGGUCUCGCCGUCAUAUCGGCGACGAACGCCCUCAAAGCCGGCUCGGCCGACAUCGCCCUCGCCGUUGGUGUCGAGGUGCAAACGACGGCGACCGCGCGCGUUGGUGGCGACUACCUCGCCCGUGCCGCGGACUACCAGCGCCAGCGCAAGCUGGACGACUUCACAUUCCCGUGCUUGUUUGCCAAGCGCAUGAAGUACAUUGCCGAACACAACCAUUUCACAAUGGAGGACACGGCGCGCGUGGCGGCCAAGGCGUACGCCAACGGCAACAGGAACCCUCUCGCCCACAUGCACACCCGCAAGCUAUCGUUUGAGCAGUGCAACGGCGAGGACCCGAGUAACGUGAAGUUUCUCGGCAACGAGACUUACAAAGAGUACCUGCGCAUGACGGACUGCUCGCAGGUGAGCGACGGCGGUGCCGGCGUCGUUCUGGCCAACGAGGAGGGCCUCAAGAAGAUGGGCCUUAGCCCGAACGACAGUCGCCUCGUCGAGAUCAAGUCGAUCGCUUGCGCCGUGAGCAACCUUUACGAGGACCCCGAUGAUGCAUGCUGCAUGUUCACCUCCCGCCAGGCAGCGCAGAAGGCGCUGUCGAUGGCAAACGUAAAGCCGUCGGACCUCAACGUCGCGGAGGUGCACGACUGCUUCACGAUUGCCGAGAUGCUCAUGUACGAGGCGCUCGGGAUCGCCGAGUACGGUCACGCGAAGGACCUCAUCCGCAACGGUGAAACGACGCUCGAGGGCCGCAUCCCUGUUAACACCGGUGGCGGCCUCCUCUCCUUUGGCCACCCGGUCGGCGCCACCGGCAUCAAGCAAGUCAUGGAGGUCUACCGGCAGAUGAAGGGGCAGUGUGGGGCUUACCAGAUGAAGAAGAUUCCGGCCCUCGGCGCGACGCUGAACAUGGGUGGUGAUGACAAGACCGCUGUGUCGGCGGUGCUGCAGAACAUCUGAGAUGCCUCACCUCUAAGCCCCGAGAAAAAGAAAAGGGACCCCGCCGAACGCGAACCACGAAUGUGCCCGAGACGCACACGCACAGACGAGGGAGGCGACGUGUCAUACGGGUCUCUCUCAUCCGCCGUCACUGGCGUAUCUGUCGCUCUCUCGCCUGCCCUUCCUCCUUUCCAUGGCCUUUGCGAGCAAUGAACGGACAAGGGAACGCACCGUAUGCUAGCACAUGUGCGUGGGCGAGAGAAGCGUCUCCAGUCGGACACCGUCAGCGAGGGAGAGAGAGUAAUCGGCUGAGCACGAUCACGGAGGUGCAGACACCACGUGUGCUUGCACUCUUCCUGUGUUGCCAGUUUGCUUUUAAGUGAAUCUCGCGUGUGCGUGUAUGUCCGGUUCGUUCCCGCUGGUGUGUUCUGCACGUGUGCUGGCGUGAGGAGGGCCUUGGUGCCACCUAAUGGAUACAAGGGCAGGACGAUUGGGAAGAGGAAAGCGUGUGGGUGGACAGUUCACAGCCGUACUGCUCUCUCCCUAUUGCACCGCUCGCUGCAGCGCUCAUUCGAAAAACAGCAAAAAGCGGACGCGUGUCUCCCCGGUACGCCGUCCGCCCCUCCUUUCCCACCUCAUCCCUAUUUCGCAACAUUUAUGUUUGUGCUUGUCACGGAAGCCCUCUCUCGUCUUUUUCAGCGAUACAACUCUAUAUAUCUAUAUAUACUUGCUUAUAUGCGAGCGGGCCUGUGCUUGCCGUCUCCUCCACCCCCCUCCUACCUCCCUUCCCUCGCCGACAUUACGGACGCAUGCACGCACUCACGGAGGCACCAGCGUGGGAAGAGCAAACAAAAAUGAUAAUCAACUGCAGCAAGCCUGACACGCCACCUGGAAGGACGGUGAGAGGGCGAGUACGACAACCAAGCGAAGUGCCCAGAGGACGCGGUGCCAGCAUCGGGAGGUGGGCGAGCGAGGGUGUGGUGGGCGGAGGGAAGGAGAGGAGAGAGAUGUAAGCGAGCAGAGAGCGCACCAGCACUCCGAGAAUAUCUCACAUUGCGUAUAUAUAUAUAUAUAUUUUCUGCCUUUUUAUUUUCAUUGUCAUUUUUAUUAUUUCUUUUUUUUUGAUUUUACGUUUAGGCCCUUUGGUGCUUCGCACAGUUCCGCGAGGACACCGGUCCAUACUUUGCAUUCAUGCAGCGUCGGGUAGCUGACGGUGACACGACGGAGUGCAGAUGGUGUGCUGCCUGCUGUUCCGCUAGCACUGUGGUACCUCCACCUUCGCCAGAGCCUCUGUCUCCGCCUGUGCUUGCUAUGAGCGCAUCCGGCCCGGCAUUGUGCCCGGUAUGCCACGCGAGAUUCGCGAAUCGCUCCACGCUCAGAGCACAGGUCGCUUCAAGCUAUGGUCUUGAACGCAGUGACCUGGCUACGCACAUCUCACGUCUGCUGCACGCGCUUCCCCUAUUGGGGGUGUACGGCUGCCCCUCCCCCCUCCUGUGACAUGGACGGAAGUGGAAGGUGAAGACGGCGGGCCCUCCAGAUAACCACGCCGCCCUGAAAUAGGUCCUAUGGCCUGAGAAUGCGAGCACGGUGCGCAGGCGCUGCCAUGCACAGCUGGCACGGUGUUCUGCAUCGAAGCGAAGCGCCCAGAGCUGAGAAGGGCAAGAGUGACCGGCGAGCGAGGCGCGAGGAGACCCGCACCAAUCAGCCCCCCGUGCAUGUGUGCGAAGUAUGCAGCAUCACCUGCGUCCGACCGUGUGGGCUGAUGAGGCACCGGUGCUGGGAGCAUGGCGAGAACAUGCCGACGCACAGCAUCGGGCCCCCCAGACUCCAACGUAACGAGUGUCCACACCGUCUUGUGGAAUGCCGCGGCUUGAAGCGAUUCAGAGGGAGCAGCAUGGUACACAGGCAGAGCGCAGGGUCUCCUCGGUCCCUGGCCUGAAGCUGGCCGACUUCCUCCUUGGGCUCGUCCGGCAUGCGCCCGGGCCAACCACUGCUACCCGCCCGACAGACGCCGCCGCUGGUGCCGCUCGAGCAGGGCUCUGAGCGCGACCCGCUUGGAUGGCGGCGUGCAGCGCACGCGCGACGAAGGGAUGCGGAAGGACGAGACGAGCCCGUCAGCCGCAGCGCGACCGCGGGAGGCGGACGGCUCAUCCUGGGCGACGCGGAUGGUAUCCGUGGCGCCCCAGUGUUGGGUGGACUGUGGCUGCAUACGUGUAUUCGCUGACUUUUUUCUGGUCGCAUGGGUACGCGAAAGAAAAAUGUCGUCGUUUUUUUGUUUUGUUGGCUCUCUCCGACGGGCAUACGCUUGACGCAUCGCAACAAGGAAAAGGCUGCCAGUUAAGUGCCACUCAAUGAACGGAAAGUGAAAGCGCUAAGGAUGCAACAGUGCACAUUUACGGGAGAUGAGAGGUCCCUUCUGCACGGAAGCACACGCGCAUAGGCUCAGUCACACGAGCGGGUGACUGUGCGCAGUGAGGAUCGCAGGCGCACGGUUAUUUGAGGUUGGGAUUAAGAAUAGGGAGGCGGCGGCCCUUUAACCUUUUCCCAGGAAAGAAUGGUGCUCGGUGUUGCCUGCCAUUUCACGUGCGUGCAAGUGUAUGGUGACCGGAGCUGCUGUGUUCAUCGUUUGAGUGCGCCAUGGUUGUUAGAGGUCCUCCACGGCAUUGUUGCCUCAUCAGCCUUUGCGAAUCGCUGUGCACCUCCCUCCUUUCCUGUGCCCUGGCGGCGAGAUAGACACCCCAUCCUGCCGUUGUGCAUGGCGACUCUCCUUCAUGUUCAUCCUGUUUCGUGUGUUCUCUUUGCUUUCCUAUUUCGCCUACACAGCAACAGGCGCACCCAUCUUUCUUCCUCGGCCACUAAUAUCUCGCCACGGGGGUGUGCUGCAGCGAGACCAAUACCUUCGAUUCCGCUACGCGUGAAGAGCGAAACCCCGACUCAACGCGAGAGCUGAGGGAUUCUUUAAAUUGGUGUGGGCGCGCGGGAGUCGGCGAGAUUUGCACGAAAAUAAAAACAGCGCCGUCAACACCCGUGAAAGAGGUGCGCGUUUCGCACCUGCUGAGAUCUGACCGCCCUACGCCACCAAACUGCACGUGCUCAACUCAAAGUGCACGUUGGCUUUUCAUCGUAUACCGCGCG